CUUGAAGACUCUUGGAAUGUGUCGUAUGUCCGUGGCUGACAUGACUCGAAAGUUUUGGGACAAGUUCCCAAAUCUUGAAGAAGUCAAGCUCCACAUUAAUGAAUUUGGAGAUCAUGUUUCUGAUUACCCAAGCUCUGCAUUGAUGAAUUUGGAUACUAUUAUUCUCCCCUCGCGUCUCAAGUGUUUGUCCCUCAGUGAAAUGUUCCUAACGCAUGAAUUAGUUUCAAGCAUUGCAGAAUUGCGAUGCCUUGAGACUCUUAAAUUAUCUGAGAUAUACUUUGCAGGGAGUCAUUGGGUUCUCGAUGCUUACACGUUUGAACAACUCAAGUUUUUGAAAUUACAUCAUGUUUUUAUGACCAAAUGGAGUUGCAGAGAGGAAUCAUUUCCUUGCCUUGAGUAUCUUGUUAUAAA
This 411-nucleotide unclassified non-coding RNA is filed under the name Hevea brasiliensis (rubber tree). Lineage: Eukaryota; Viridiplantae; Streptophyta; Magnoliopsida; Malpighiales; Euphorbiaceae. The record is from RNAcentral.